RNAcentral lists this ribosomal RNA (253 nucleotides) under uncultured bacterium. RNAcentral's name for it is "partial 16S ribosomal RNA". It matches the Rfam family "Bacterial small subunit ribosomal RNA", at positions 524 to 776 of the family's 1533-position model. The record is from RNAcentral.
UACGGAGGGUGCGAGCGUUGUCCGGAUUUAUUGGGUUUAAAGGGUGCGUAGGCGGCCCGGUAAGUCAGUGGUGAAAGCCUCCAGCUCAACUGGAGAACUGCCAUUGAUACUGCCGGGCUUGAGUACAGACGAGGUUGGCGGAAUUGAUUGUGUAGCGGUGAAAUGCAUAGAUACAAUCAAGAACUCCGAUUGCGUAGGCAGCUAACUAGGCUGUAACUGACGCUGAGGCACGAAAGCGUGGGGAGCGAACAGG